CUUUAGCGCGGUGGUCCCACCUGACCCCAUGCCGAACUCAGAAGUGAAACGCCGUAGCGCCGAUGGUAGUGUGGGGUCUCCCCAUGUGAGAGUAGGGAACUGCCAGGC
RNAcentral lists this ribosomal RNA (108 nucleotides) under Enterobacter cloacae. Lineage: Bacteria; Pseudomonadati; Pseudomonadota; Gammaproteobacteria; Enterobacterales; Enterobacteriaceae. RNAcentral also lists the same sequence under 9 other names. The record is from RNAcentral.